This 508-nucleotide ribosomal RNA is filed under the name uncultured Glomus. Its description in RNAcentral is "SSU rRNA". It matches the Rfam family "Eukaryotic small subunit ribosomal RNA", at positions 569 to 1078 of the family's 1831-position model. The record is from RNAcentral. Lineage: Eukaryota; Fungi; Glomeromycota; Glomeromycetes; Glomerales; Glomeraceae.
AGCAGCCGCGGUAAUUCCAGCUCCAAUAGCGUAUAUUAAAGUUGUUGCAGUUAAAAAGCUCGUAGUUGAAUUUCGGGGUUAGUAAGUUGGUCAUGCCUUCGGUAUGUACUGGCUUUACUGAUUCCUCCUUCUUGACGAACCGUGAUGUCAUUAAUUUGGUGUUGCGGGAAAUCAGGACUGUUACUUUGAAAAAAUUAGAGUGUUUAAAGCAGGCUAACGCUUGAAUACAUUAGCAUGGAAUAAUGAAAUAGGACGUUUGAUCCUAUUUUGUUGGUUUCUAGGAUUGACGUAAUGGUUAAUAGGGAUAGUUGGGGGCAUUAGUAUUCAAUUGUCAGAGGUGAAAUUCUUGGAUUUAUUGAAGACUAACUACUGCGAAAGCAUUUGCCAAGGAUGUUUUCAUUAAUCAAGAACGAAAGUUAGGGGAUCGAAGACGAUCAGAUACCGUCGUAGUCUUAACCAUAAACUGUGCCGACUAGGGAUCGGAUGAUGUUAAUUCUUUAAUGACUCA